RNAcentral lists this ribosomal RNA (400 nucleotides) under uncultured bacterium. Its description in RNAcentral is "bacterial SSU rRNA". It matches the Rfam family "Bacterial small subunit ribosomal RNA", at positions 355 to 769 of the family's 1533-position model. The record is from RNAcentral.
UUAGGAAUUUUGCGCAAUGGGGGCAACCCUGACGCAGCAACGCCGCGUGAGCGAUGAAGGCCUUCGGGUUGUAAAGCUCUUUUAGCAGGAACGAAACAAAUGACGGUACCUGCAGAAAAAGCACCGGCUAACUCCGUGCCAGCAGCCGCGGUAAUACGGAGGGUGCAAGCGUUAUUCGGAAUGACUGGGCGUAAAGCGCAUGUAGGCGGCUUACCAAGUCCGAUGUGAAAUCCCUGAACUCAAUUCAGGAAGUGCAUUGGAUACUGGUAGGCUAGAGUGUCGGAGAGGAGAGCGGAAUUCCAGGUGUAGAGGUGAAAUUCGUAGAUAUCUGGAGGAACAACAGAGGCGAAGGCGGCUUUCUGGACGACAACUGACGCUGAGAUGCGAAAGCGUGGGGAGC